Molecule: ribosomal RNA, 376 nt
Filed under: uncultured bacterium
Lineage: Bacteria
Description: bacterial SSU rRNA
Rfam family: Bacterial small subunit ribosomal RNA
Source: RNAcentral
GACGAACCGUCCAAACGUUAUUCGGUAUCACUGGGCUUAAAGAGUUCGUAGGCGGCUAAACAGGUGAGGUGUGAAAGCCCUCGGCUUAACCGAGGAACUGCGCUUCAAACCGUUUAGCUAGAGGAAGACAGAGGUGAGCGGAACUGAUGGUGGAGCGGUGAAAUGCGUUGAUAUCAUCAGGAACACCGGUGGCGAAAGCGGCUCACUGGGUCUUUUCUGACGCUGAGGAACGAAAGCUAGGGGAGCGAACGGGAUUAGAUACCCCGGUAGUCCUAGCCGUAAACGAUGAGCACUAGACUGUGGGGACCCUCACAUCCUCUCGGUCGUAGCGAAAGUGUUAAGUGCUCCGCCUGGGGAGUAUGGUCGCAAGGCUGAA